This 403-nucleotide ribosomal RNA is filed under the name bacterium. RNAcentral describes it as "partial 16S ribosomal RNA". It matches the Rfam family "Bacterial small subunit ribosomal RNA", at positions 355 to 776 of the family's 1533-position model. The record is from RNAcentral.
GGGGGAAUAUUGCACAAUGGGGGAAACCCUGAUGCAGCGACGCCGCGUGAACGAAGAAGGUAUUCGUAUCGUAAAGUUCUGUCCUAUGGGAAGAUAAUGACAGUACCAUAGAAGAAAGCUCCGGCUAAAUACGUGCCAGCAGCCGCGGUAAUACGUAUGGAGCGAGCGUUGUCCGGAAUUAUUGGGCGUAAAGGGUACGCAGGCGGUUUAAUAAGUCGAAUGUUAAAGAUCGGGGCUCAACCCAGCAAAGCAUUGGAAACUUAUUAACUUGAGUAGUGGAGAGGAAAGUGGAAUUCCUAGUGUAGUGGUGAAAUACGUAGAUAAUAGGGGGAAUACCAGUAGCGAAGGCGACUUGCUGGACACAAACUGACGCUGAGGUAAGAAAGCGUGGGGAGCAAACAGG